RNAcentral lists this ribosomal RNA (476 nucleotides) under uncultured bacterium. RNAcentral describes it as "bacterial SSU rRNA". It matches the Rfam family "Bacterial small subunit ribosomal RNA", at positions 25 to 518 of the family's 1533-position model. The record is from RNAcentral.
CAGGACGAACGCUGGCGGCGUGCCUAACACAUGCAAGUCGAGCGAGGAGAUCCUUCGGGAUGAUCCUAGCGGCGGACGGGUGAGUAACACGUGGGCAACCUGCCUCAUAGAGAGGAAUAGCCUUCCGAAAGGGAGAUUAAUACCUCAUAACAUUGCAGUUUCGCAUGGAACAGCAAUUAAAGGAGUAAUCCGCUAUGAGAUGGGCCCGCGGCGCAUUAGCUAGUUGGUGAGGUAACGGCUCACCAAGGCGACGAUGCGUAGCCGACCUGAGAGGGUGAUCGGCCACAUUGGGACUGAGACACGGCCCAGACUCCUACGGGAGGCAGCAGUGGGGAAUAUUGCACAAUGGGGGAAACCCUGAUGCAAGCAACGCCGCGUGAGUGAUGACGGCCUUCGGGUUGUAAAGCUCUGUCUUCAGGGACGAUAAUGACGGUACCUGAGGAGGAAGCCACGGCUAACUACGUGCCAGCCGCAGC